Molecule: ribosomal RNA, 446 nt
Filed under: uncultured bacterium
Lineage: Bacteria
Description: bacterial SSU rRNA
Rfam family: Bacterial small subunit ribosomal RNA
Source: RNAcentral
CCCAGACUCCUACGGGAGGCAGCAGUGGGGGAUAUUGCACAAUGGGGGAAACCCUGAUGCAGCAACGCCGCGUGAGUGAAGAAGUAUUUCGGUAUGUAAAGCUCUAUCAGCAGGGAAGAGAAUGACGGUACCUGACUAAGAAGCCCCGGCUAACUACGUGCCAGCAGCCGCGGUAAUACGUAGGGGGCGAGCGUUAUCCGGAUUUACUGGGUGUAAAGGGAGCGUAGACGGCUGGUCAAGUCUGAAGUGAAAGCCCGGGGCUUAACCCCGGAACGGCUUUGGAAACUGAGCAGCUAGAGUGCUGGAGAGGUAAGCGGAAUUCCUAGUGUAGCGGUGAAAUGCGUAGAUAUUAGGAGGAACACCAGUGGCGAAGGCGGCUUACUGGACAGUAACUGACGUUGAGGCUCGAAAGCGUGGGGAGCAAACAGGAUUAGAUACCCUCGUAA